AACGCACAUUGCGCCCCUUGGUAUUCCAUGGGGCAUGCCUGUUCGAGCGUCAUUUGUACCUUCAAGCUCUGCUUGGUGUUGGGUGUUUGUCUGCUGCUUGGGUAGACUCGCCUCAAAUGCAUUGGCAGCCGGCAAUCUGGUGGUAGAGCGCAGCACAAUUUGCACUUUAUGCUAUGAAUGCCGACGUCCAAUACGUCCACCUCUCACGUUUGACCUCGAAUCAGGUAGGGAUACCCGCUGAACUUAA
This 247-nucleotide unclassified non-coding RNA is filed under the name Exobasidium sp. Its description in RNAcentral is "partial contains 5.8S ribosomal RNA, internal transcribed spacer 2, and large subunit ribosomal RNA". Lineage: Eukaryota; Fungi; Basidiomycota; Exobasidiomycetes; Exobasidiales; Exobasidiaceae. The record is from RNAcentral. RNAcentral also lists the same sequence under 1 other name.